Molecule: long non-coding RNA, 288 nt
Organism: Acipenser ruthenus (sterlet)
Lineage: Eukaryota; Metazoa; Chordata; Actinopteri; Acipenseriformes; Acipenseridae
Exons: 4
Source: RefSeq, a predicted model, not a curated record
UACUGUGAAUAGGUCCAGAUUGAUUUACAUCCCUAUGAUAGAAGCUACAAAAGAACAGAGACAAGAGUUUCAGUAAUAUAAUGUAACAUUUGGGAGCAAAAAUACAGAAAAGCAAACCAAAACUGGAAGCCAGAAUUGCAAAUAUUUCUACAGCAACAGUAUAUUUCCCAGGUGAACUGAAAACACAAGAGAUGCACAUGACAAAUGUGAUCCCAAAGGCAGUGUGGCGCAACAUACAGGACCACUCAGAGGGCUGGCCAAUGAAAAACACAAGAGAUGCACAGGACA